Molecule: transfer RNA, 74 nt
Filed under: Gemmatimonadota bacterium
Lineage: Bacteria; Pseudomonadati; Gemmatimonadota
Also listed under: 2 other names
Description: Gemmatimonadetes bacterium (bioreactor metagenome) tRNA-Arg
Rfam family: tRNA
About the family: Transfer RNA (tRNA) molecules are approximately 80 nucleotides in length. Their secondary structure includes four short double-helical elements and three loops (D, anti-codon, and T loops).
Source: RNAcentral
GCGGGCGUAGCUCAAUUGGAUAGAGCAUCUGACUACGGAUCAGAAGGUUAGGGGUUCGAGUCCCUUCGCCCGUG